GCCCUAGUAGCUCAGCUGGAUAGAGCAAUCCCCUCCUAAGGGAUAGGUCGGACGUUCGAAUCGUCUCUGGGGCGCCA
Molecule: transfer RNA, 77 nt
Filed under: Marinobacterium sp. LSUCC0821
Lineage: Bacteria; Pseudomonadati; Pseudomonadota; Gammaproteobacteria; Oceanospirillales; Oceanospirillaceae
Description: tRNA-Arg
Rfam family: tRNA
About the family: Transfer RNA (tRNA) molecules are approximately 80 nucleotides in length. Their secondary structure includes four short double-helical elements and three loops (D, anti-codon, and T loops).
Source: RNAcentral